Molecule: ribosomal RNA, 239 nt
Filed under: uncultured bacterium
Lineage: Bacteria
Description: partial 16S ribosomal RNA
Rfam family: Bacterial small subunit ribosomal RNA
Source: RNAcentral
CCUUCGGGUCUAGUGGCGCACGGGUGCGUAACGCGUGGGAAUCUGCCCUUAGGUACGGAAUAACUCAGCGAAAGUUGUGCUAAUACCGUAUGAUGUCUUCGGACCAAAGAUUUAUCGCCUAGGGAUGAGCCCGCGUUGGAUUAGCUAGUUGGUGAGGUAAAGGCUCACCAAGGCGACGAUCCAUAGCUGGUCUGAGAGGGAGACCCCCCACACUGGGACUGAGACACGGCCCAGACUCC